AACAGACACGGAGGCUCACAAGGGAUUUGGCACAUUGACGUGCCGCUGAGAGAGCCGGGCUCUCCGGGCUCGCAGCAGAGGCGGUUUCGGGGCCCGGCAGCGCGGCCUGGAGUGCUGAGACAGACUAGACCUCUCUGGAAUGGAAGAGGUCCUGACCAUCUCCGCCACCAGAAGACCCUGCCGUGUGCUCCACCUCCUCGUCCACCACUUCCUCAUCAGAGGGCCGGCUUUAUGAACUGCGGGGCCCGAUUUGAAGACCUGGCAGCGGUCCGGGGCUUCGGCGGCACUUCGGUGGCGGGGGGCAGGGUCUGCUCCAGGUCUUCAGUGGUACUUCGGCGGGGGGUCGGGGAUGUCUGCACCGAAGGACCCCUUGCCGCUGAAAUGCCGCCGAAGACCCAGAGCGGACUCCCCUCGCCGCCGAAGACCCAGAGCGGACUCCCCCCACUGUUGAAACGCCGCUGAAGACCAGGACACCUCCCCCCCCAGGUUCCAGUCUCUUCAAAGACCCAAAGUGGAGUUAUGAACUUGAAGCCACAGAAGAACCCGUGUGGCAUCUGAAGGACCGCCCCUCGCCAGAGCCUCGUUGGGAGUGAUCUCUGAAGGGAAAAGAGCAAAAAAACCCGCUUUCCCUCCUCAGCAAUGAUGGUUGGAAUUUUACGGAUACUGGCUUUCCUGGCCUCAGUUUGCAUGCUGGAGUUUUAGACUACUGUUGCUGGCCUGCGGUCCAUCUCUG
Mauremys reevesii (Reeves's turtle) is the source of this 733-nucleotide long non-coding RNA. RefSeq lists it as uncharacterized. NCBI's taxonomy places the organism in Eukaryota, Metazoa, Chordata, Testudines, Geoemydidae. The transcript is spliced from 5 exons. The record is from RefSeq and is a predicted model, not a curated record.